This 253-nucleotide ribosomal RNA is filed under the name uncultured bacterium. RNAcentral describes it as "partial 16S ribosomal RNA". It matches the Rfam family "Bacterial small subunit ribosomal RNA", at positions 524 to 776 of the family's 1533-position model. The record is from RNAcentral.
UACGGGGGGGGCAAGCGUUGUUCGGAAUUACUGGGCGUAAAGGGCUCGUAGGUGGCCAACUAAGUCAUACGUGAAAUCCCUCGGCUUAACCGGGGAACUGCGUCCGAUACUGGAUGGCUUGAGUGUGGGAGAGGGAUGCGGAAUUCCAGGUGUAGCGGUGAAAUGCGUAGAUAUCUGGAGGAACACCGGUGGCGAAGGCGGCAUCCUGGACUACUACUGACGCUGAGGAGCGAAAGCCAGGGGAGCAAACGGG